This is a long non-coding RNA of Solanum pennellii, 471 nucleotides long. RefSeq lists it as uncharacterized. The record is from RefSeq and is a predicted model, not a curated record. The transcript has 2 exons. Lineage: Eukaryota; Viridiplantae; Streptophyta; Magnoliopsida; Solanales; Solanaceae.
UCAAGUUACUAAUAAUCAUCAUUAUAGUGCAAUCUGAAGUCUUAUACUUGUGUCAUUCUUCCUUUUUCUACACAGAAAGUGACAGAUGAAUACAUGAAGAAGAUUGAUAUUGUCUUCAAGCAGAAGGAGAAGGAACUGCUGAAAGUUUGACAACAGUUCUGUUCAAUGUGUAUAUGGAGUUUGUGCAGUAAUGAAGCUUUUCUUGGAAGGUUUAUGUGGUGCAAUAGGCUUGUCACAUACCUUUGUAAAAAAAACUACGUUUAAUUUUCAGUUGUAAAGAUCACUCAGGAACUGGAAUGGUCCCUGUUAAUUUUGUUAGGAAUUUCUUUUUUACACCCAAAAGAAGUUAAAUCUGCUUGUAGCGACAUAAUUUGCACUGCUUGAGGCUGCUGGAUUUUGUAACUACAGGAUUCAGAAUGAAAUCGUACUUGCUGAUGGUAGAAUAUCUACUUUCACUGCUCUUCUUUUGUA